Molecule: long non-coding RNA, 4573 nt
Organism: Rhinopithecus roxellana (golden snub-nosed monkey)
Lineage: Eukaryota; Metazoa; Chordata; Mammalia; Primates; Cercopithecidae
Exons: 3
Source: RefSeq, a predicted model, not a curated record
ACCCACCUGCCUUGGCCUCCUAAAGUGCUGAGAUUACAGGCAUGGGCCACUGCGCCUGGCUGUAUAUACAUAUUUAAAAGCCUAAACAUAUCAGAUGUUGACAUUACCAAAUUCUACCAGUUUUAGUUCUCAUUCAUUUAUAUCCUGGUAGAGUUCAUCUGUUUUGAGAACAACUAAAAGGAAAAAUAAUUCUUCAUAUUGUCUGAAUUGUGUCUUCGAAAUCUACAAACAUUUUCUGAUUGGUUGCUGAGCUCCUGGGUGUGGAAACCUGGGUGGGGAUAAAAUGAGGCUGUCCUUGGAGGAGAGGGGCUGGAAAGGGGCAGUCCCCAUCCUCACCGUCCUCUCUGCCACUUGCCACAACUUCUGCAGACGGCCUUCCCUCUCUGCGACUGGUUCCUUAUUGAGGCAAUGGAAAUGUGGACUGUGGUGACUCUGAUCAAGCCUCAUGUAUCUACUGAAUCAGGAAGCCUGACGGCCUGAGGCCUCCCGAGUGGCCCCAUGGGAGCAUCGUGCAUUUUUCUGGUCAGUUGUUAGGGGAAACGAUGAAUGAGCCAGGUCAGCAUGAGAAGGCCUGCAUGCUAUCGGAUCUUUUUCCUGAAAACAUUGACAUGGGGACAUGUUCAAACCAAAUUUUCUUUAUAAGUUAUAAGGAAAUCAUGCGGAGGCUAAACUUUUUUUUUUUUUUUUUGGCAGUGCUGUUGAGAAUAUUACAUUAUGUUCCCACAAUAGCAUAAAUGUAUGUCUUAUCACUUGAAUGGAGCCCAGACAAUAAAAGGGCGCCUGAGAGUGGAAAUACGCCUAUGAGAAAGGCCAAGCCAGCCUUUCGUGAUAACAGCAGCAGGGAGGGAAGAGUGCACAGAGCUGACCACAGCACAAAUGUCACAGACCCUUGAGGACCGUGCCGGGGCGCAGAGCCCCACCCAAGGGCUAACAUCCUCACCCCAGCCGAGUUCCUUCAGGCCCCAGGGUCUUCGUUUCGUGACUUGUAAAAUGGGAAUUAUAUGUCAUGGGAGUGUUGGGGGGAAAAUGCAAUCAUUAGCAAAUGCUUUCAAAUAUAAUAUGUUACCAAUAUCAGGUAAAGGUAACAUUUUAUUUCCUAGGGCCAGGAAUUUCAUUUUUGUUUUCCUGUUUAUUUUUUUCCAUAUUCAACCACCCACAAAUGUGCUCUCUCUCAAAAAGAAAAAAAAAAAAACAACCAACAACAACCCCAUUUCUCCUUCUGGUUGAAUGAUUCAUCAAGAAUCUUGGCCCAAGUACAAUACAGUUUCAGGGAAAAAAGACUCCAGGGAAUGAAUAGGGAACGUAAUCAUGACCUUUCCGAUAACCCCGUUAUUAGGCAAUGCGGCGCAGAUGAAAUUCUCCAGGGAGCAAGUGAGUGAGGCGUGGCUUACAUUUUGUAUGCUGAGCCCUGCUUGGUGACUUCACACCUCCAGCCCCUGUUCUAUGCCAGCAAGGUGGGGCAGCUGGGGUGGUGGGCGAGCUGAGGGUCACCUCAGAGCUGAGGUCAAAAGAAAUUCUUACAAGUAAAAUAAUCACUAACAAUUUUUAUGUUUGUAGAUACGGAGUUGUUGGUCUUGAGAUACAGACCACGCAGGAACAAAAGGCUUGCGGGAGGACGGUGGUGCUAGGAUGCUGCAGUCCCAGGGGAAGAGCUGUGGUUUUAGUGCCUACCUUCCUUUCACUCCUCUGGCCAAAAAAAACUAAUAAUAAUAAAGAAAGGAAAAGAAAAGAAACUUCUCAGAGAGGUGCCUAGUGGCUAAAAAAAGACUCCUGGUUCUCCACCCCCGUGACUUUAUGGCAUCUCCAAAACAAGACUGUAAGAUACAGAAAGAAUAUGAAGGGCCCGAUGACGAUGCUGGCCUGGCGGGGGACUUGGCUGACCCGGCCUCCGCACAGGUGGACUAGUUCACAGAGCUUGGCCACUGGGGGGCUGCUGGCAGGCGAGACAAACAUCACUGGCUGGUCGGCAAAGAGGGUUCCGCGGUACAGCCCUGCAGACAAGUGGCACUCCCUUCGGCACAGCUGUGGGGCAGACAGAGAGAGAAUUACAGAGGUGGGACCACUUCAGUCUCCACAGCGUAGGUGAACUGUUGCGGUUUACUUCCUUUUUUGGGAAAAGAAUAGACUGAAUGUAAGGCUGCCAUGCUCCUGUGAAUUUCGAAUUCUGAGAACCCAGAGAAGAUGAUGACAUUAAUGACAUAAAACUGACAUUUUCUGAAGUAUCCAUGAGUAAAACUCAAGGACAUAAAUUAGAAAAAAAAAAAAAGUAGUGUAGGCCUUUGAAUUAUUACAAAUCCUCAAACAAAAUAUUGGAAAGCAACUGUUAGCAGAGCAGAGCAGAGCCGUAGCUAGGCUGAACUCCGGCUAAAGUAACUUGGUGACGUGUGCAAGUGACGGCAAGAUUCUAAUGCACUGCAAAUGCCGGCUGUGCUGGAAGAGAGUCGUUCAAUCCAGCGUGCUCCAGGCUCUUGGCAGAAAAGGACUUUUAUAGAAUCUAAGAAAUGCUGUAAAUCCAAUACCCUGGUUUGGACGGGGAAAGGGACAGUGAGGCAAUGCAGAAGGAGAAUUCCUCGAGCCGUUCCCAAAACACACUAGGUUUGCGGGAGAGAGGUGUCUCGAGGUUGUUUCAACGAGCUGUUGGGAAACAUUUCAGAAACAGGGAUGUGAAGCUGCUCUGCUUCUCCUUCUGGCAACGUGUGGUCAUCUGGCUGACCCGGAGGCCUGCGGGAAGGCCCAGUUACUCUGAACACGCAUUUUCCUAACUAUGGGUUGGUAAAGCCUUCUUUUUGAGUAUAAACACCCUCUGAGAGAUGCUGUGGGUUAUGUGCCAUCCACAUUUUGUUUUGCAUAUUUUCCCUGCAAUAUCUGAAAUGAAUGGUUCACAUAAAUUAGAGAUUUGAGGGGAUGUAUGUGGGGGGAGGGAUGAAGGGGCGUUCUCAGAGGAGUAUAACCUGGGGUGCAGUGAGGUUGGGGUCAUCUUAGUCAGGGGCAGCAGACAAGGUUGAACUUGGAGGUAGGGGUAGGGUGGAGUUGGGGGAAGAGCAGCAAAGAGUAAGUUCCACAGCCCACAUCGCUCACAAAAUCAGAGAAACAGUGAACUAUUUUUCUGCUAGGUUUUCAUACUACUCUAAUAUUUAACAAAAGAGGAUCCUACUGUGAAAAUAUAGCUCCAGCAUCAAUGGAUUAGACCCAAUACACUUAAAUCUGCUCAAGGAAUUUGCUUUUUCUCUUCCCUUGCGUUGAAUUUUACAGCAUAAUAUAUACCGAGCCUCAGCAACUUUCAUGUGACUUCCAGGAGACAGUGGCAGCAGGGGCAAAUCAUUCUUCCUGGAUGGUGACUUUAACAAAGACUUUUUCUGGGGGCACCAACCUCCACCUGGCCAUGUGUUCAAGCCCAAGGAGAAGUCCCAGGAUUGGUCCAAGCUAAUCACAGUGAUAAUGCAAAUGACUGAGCUAAGCAUGGCACAGCUGGCCUCAAUCCUGGCCAGUGCGACCUGAGAAUCAGUCGCUGGUGGGAUUCUGAGGGAGUUUUUCUCACUAUUAUAAACAGAUGCAUAAGCAGAAAUACUUCUCUUUGCUCGACACUGUCAUGUCUAAUAUUAUGCCUGGAUCACUGAAGCCCCCAGAGGCCAUGGGACACGCUGAAAAUGGCCCAGUGGGAAGGCGGAAAGCUCUGGGUCCUGAAGAACACUUCUAAGUUACUGACGGACCAAACUGAAAUCAUCCUUUAUUUUGUUUUAUGUCAGAAAAAAAAACAAACCUAAAUUCUUUAAGUGACUUUUUUGUUAAGUUUUUGUUUCUAGAAGCCCAAAGUAUCCUAAUAAUAAUAAUUUUAAAUAAUCCACCUAUUUUUGAAAAUAUCUUGUUCAUCGUUGAGACUAUGAUCAGUUCUCACCCCGCCUCUCCCACCAUUUACCAGAGUUAACAACUGUGAAGAGUUCUCUGUGUAUUUUUAAAAAUUCUGUAAAAUGCACACACACACACACACACACACACACACACACACACACAAUUUGAUAUGGUUGUUCUUAACCAAAAAAUGAGAUCAAAUCUCUAUCUUACUGUAUGGAUAAGCAGUAAAUAAACCUUUUUCUAAUGCAGUAGAAAAGGAAGUCAACCUCUCGGAUGUUGAGGAUGUGAUUUCAGUAGCUAGUUUCUUUGUGCCGUGACAUUGCCUUCAGAAUUCUGAUCUUGGCCAAUUUUCCUAUCCAGCAAAGCACCAUUUCCCCAGCACUGGUACUUUUUUAAAAAGUUAGUUGUGAAUUACAAGCUGUAAACAUUAGAUGCAGCAGACGGUGUUCUCACUGUGUCACCACUGGCUCUCGCCAGGGAGCCUAUGUGUUACCUGGAGAUCAAGGGGAAAAGCCUCAAAGGCACAGAUUCUGAAGUCAACUUGCUGUUCAUUAUUUUCAUUGAUUUUUCAAUCCCCUUGGUAAUCGCAAUUUACAGCAACGUGCUCUAAACUCUGAUUUCAGCUGGGCUAAGUGGCUAACAGCUGUAAUCCCAGCACUUUGGGAGGCUGAGGCAAUUGGACUGCUUAAGUCCAGGAGUUUGAGACCAGCCUGGGCAACAU